AACGAACGCUGGCGGCAGGCUUAACACAUGCAAGUCGAGCGCAUCCUUCGGGGUGAGCGGCGGACGGGUGAGUAACGCGUGGGAACGUGCCCUCUUCUACGGAAUAGCCUCGGGAAACUGAGAGUAAUGCCGUAUACGCCCGCAAGGGGAAAGAUUUAUCGGAGGAGGAUCGGCCCGCGUUGGAUUAGGUAGUUGGUGGGGUAACGGCCUACCAAGCCGACGAUCCAUAGCUGGUUUGAGAGGAUGAGCAGCCACACUGGGACUGAGACACGGCCCAGACUCCUACGGGAGGCAGCAGUGGGGAAUCUUGGACAAUGGGGGCAACCCUGAUCCAGCCAUGCCGCGUGAACGAUGAAGGCCUUAGGGUUGUAAAGAUCUUUCAGCUGGGAAGAUAAUGACGGUACCAGCAGAAGAAGCCCCGGCUAACUCCGUG
RNAcentral lists this ribosomal RNA (433 nucleotides) under uncultured bacterium. Its description in RNAcentral is "partial 16S ribosomal RNA". It matches the Rfam family "Bacterial small subunit ribosomal RNA", at positions 29 to 507 of the family's 1533-position model. The record is from RNAcentral.